RNAcentral lists this ribosomal RNA (250 nucleotides) under uncultured bacterium. RNAcentral's name for it is "partial 16S ribosomal RNA". It matches the Rfam family "Bacterial small subunit ribosomal RNA", at positions 524 to 773 of the family's 1533-position model. The record is from RNAcentral.
UACGGAGGGUGCAAGCGUUAAUCGGAAUUACUGGGCGUAAAGGGUGCGUAGGUGGUAUGAUAAGUUGGCUGUGAAAUACCCGGGCUUAACCUGGGAGGGUCAGCCAAUACUGUCAAACUAGAGUAUAGGAGAGGGCAGUGGAAUUUCCGGUGUAGCGGUGAAAUGCGUAGAGAUCGGAAGGAACACCAGUGGCGAAGGCGUCUGCCUGGCCUAAUACUGACACUGAGGCACGAAAGCGUGGGUAGCAAAC